RNAcentral lists this ribosomal RNA (526 nucleotides) under uncultured bacterium. Its description in RNAcentral is "bacterial SSU rRNA". It matches the Rfam family "Bacterial small subunit ribosomal RNA", at positions 20 to 518 of the family's 1533-position model. The record is from RNAcentral.
UGGCUUAGGACGAACGCUGGCGGCGUGCCUAAUACAUGCAAGUCGAACGGUCUUUCUAUGGAAGCUUGCUUCCACUGAGAAGAUAGUGGCGAACGGGUGAGUAACACGUGGGGUAACCUGCCCAUAAGAGGGGGAUAACAUCCGGAAACGGGUGCUAAUACCGCAUAGUUUUCUUGAUCGCAUGAUUGAGAAAGGAAAGACGGCCUUUGUGCUGUCGCUUAUGGAUGGACCCGCGGCGUAUUAGUUAGUUGGUGAGGUAACGGCUUACCAAGACGAUGAUACGUAGCCGACCUGAGAGGGUGAUCGGCCACAUUGGGACUGAGACACGGCCCAAACUCCUACGGGAGGCAGCAGUAGGGAAUCUUCCGCAAUGGACGAAAGUCUGACGGAGCAACGCCGCGUGAGUGAAGAAAGGUUUUCGGAUCGUAAAACUCUGUUGUCAGAGAAGAACAAGUUGGAGAGUAACUGCUCCAGCCUUGACGGUAUCUGACCAGAAAGCCACGGCUAACUACGUGCCAGCCGCCGC